Molecule: ribosomal RNA, 183 nt
Filed under: Enterobacter pseudoroggenkampii
Lineage: Bacteria; Pseudomonadati; Pseudomonadota; Gammaproteobacteria; Enterobacterales; Enterobacteriaceae
Description: partial 16S ribosomal RNA
Rfam family: Bacterial small subunit ribosomal RNA
Source: RNAcentral
AAAUUGAAGAGUUUGAUCAUGGCUCAGAUUGAACGCUGGCGGCAGGCCUAACACAUGCAAGUCGAGCGGUAACACAGGGAGCUUGCUCCUGGGUGACGAGCGGCGGACGGGUGAGUAAUGUCUGGGAAACUGCCUGAUGGAGGGGGAUAACUACUGGAAACGGUAGCUAAUACCGCAUAACGU